CCUACGGGAGGCAGCAGUGAGGAAUAUUGGUCAAUGGACGAGAGUCUGAACCAGCCAAGUAGCGUGAAGGAUGACUGCCCUAUGGGUUGUAAACUUCUUUUAUAUGGGAAUAAAAUGUUCCACGUGUGGGAUUUUGUAUGUACCAUAUGAAUAAGGAUCGGCUAACUCCGUGCCAGCAGCCGCGGUAAUACGGAGGAUCCGAGCGUUAUCCGGAUUUAUUGGGUUUAAAGGGAGCGUAGGCGGAUUGUUAAGUCAGUUGUGAAAGUUUGCGGCUCAACCGGAAAAUUGCAGUUGAAACUGGCAGUCGUGAGUACAGUAGAGGUAGGCGGAAUUCGUGGUGUAGCGGUGAAAUGCUUAGAUAUCACGAAGAACUCCGAGUGCGAAGGCAGCUCACUGGACUUCAACUGACACUGAGGCUCGAAAGUGUGGGUAUCAAACAGGAUUAGAUACCCGAGUAGUC
This 460-nucleotide ribosomal RNA is filed under the name uncultured bacterium. Its description in RNAcentral is "partial 16S ribosomal RNA". It matches the Rfam family "Bacterial small subunit ribosomal RNA", at positions 338 to 795 of the family's 1533-position model. The record is from RNAcentral.